CGUGAAUGAGACGCUAAGGCGUCGAAGUAGUGUAUAUCAGACUUCCAAGAAAAGCUUGCACUGUCAUAGAUAAAAAAUGCCUGUACCAUAACCGACACAGGUGGGUAGGUAGAGUAUACUAAGGGGCGCGAGAUAACUCUCUCUAAGGAACUCGGCAAAAUAACUCCGUAACUUCGGGAGAAGGAGUGCCUUAUUUAUAAGGUUGCAAUAACAAGAUCCAAGCAACUGUUUAUCAAAAACACAGGUCUCCGCUAAGUCGUAAGACGAUGUAUGGGGGCUGACGCCUGCCCAGUGCCAGAAGGUUAAAGAAGUUGGUUAGCAAUUGCGAAGCUGAUAACUGAAGCCCUGGUGAACGGCGGCCGUAACGAUAACGGUCCUAAGGUAGCGAAAUUCCUUGUCGGGUAAGUUCCGACCCGCACAAAAGGCGUAAUGAUUUGGAUACUGUCUCGAAGAGGGGCUCGGUGAAAUAGACUUGUCUGUGAAGAUGCGGACUACCUGCACCAGGACAGAAAGACCCUAUGAAGCUUUACUGUAACUUGAAAUUGAAAUUGGACUUUAUUCGCGCAGCAUAGGUGGGAGGCGUUGAUUAUAAUCUUGCGGGAUUAUUGGAGCCAUCAGUGAGGUACCACUCUUGUAAUGUUAGAUUUCUAACUUUGAAUCAUUAUCUGGUCAAAGAACAGUUUCAGGCGGGCAGUUUGACUGGGGCGGUCGCCUCCUAAAUGGUAACGGAGGCGUACAAAGGUUUCCUCUGAACGGUUAGAAAUCGUAUCUAGAGUGUAAAGGCAUAAGGAAGCUUGACUGUGAGACCUACAUGUCGAGCAGGGACGAAAGUCGGUCUUAGUGAUCUGACGGUACUGAGUGGAAAGGCCGUCACUCAACGGAUAAAAGUUACUCUAGGGAUAACAGGCUGAUCUCCCCCAAGAGUUCACACCGACGGGGAGGUUUGGCACCUGAUGUCGGCUCAUCGCAUCCUGGGGCGGUAGUACGUCCCAAGGGUUGGGCUGUUCGCCCAUGAAAGCGGUACGCGAGCUGGGUUCAGAACGUCGUGAGACAGUUCGGUCCAUAUCCGGUGUAGGCGUUAGAAUAUUGAGAGGAGCCUUCUUUAGUACGAGAGGACCGAGAAGGACAUACCUCUGGUGUACCAGUUAUCGUGCCAACGGUAAACGCUGGGUAGCUAUGUAUGGAGUGGAUAACCGCUGAAAGCAUCUAAGUGGGAAGCCCACCUCAAGAUAAG
Molecule: ribosomal RNA, 1234 nt
Filed under: metagenome
Description: bacterial LSU rRNA
Rfam family: Bacterial large subunit ribosomal RNA
Source: RNAcentral